Molecule: non-coding RNA, 783 nt
Organism: Dermacentor andersoni
Lineage: Eukaryota; Metazoa; Arthropoda; Arachnida; Ixodida; Ixodidae
Source: RefSeq, a predicted model, not a curated record
UCUACACGCGGCGCGAUCUCUGCGAACAGCUCCUCUCUGUUAUCUACGUUUUCGUGGCCUGUGUUCACCGCAAAAACUGUAGAGGCGAGCUCACGCUGAAGUUAUUAAACGAUGUAGGCUUUGGUUGCGGUUGGUACCGUUUGUUAGACUCAUUUCGAGGCGUUGCGUCGUGGGGGUGGGCGGGCCAGAGCUGCAUCGUUCGUUGGCUUGUUCAUACUCUUCCUCCUCCUCACGCACGGCCGAUGCAGCCUCAGGUGGCCUCAGAAAUCCUAGCAUUGGUGUAGCCAGGGUUCAUCGGAGCGCCCGUGCAGACGACGAUGGGCUGACCACUGCUGCCUCAGGGACCUGCUGGGAGUCGUGCCAGAUGGGACACGCCAGCAAUUGUAGAUUACCAAGAAACUGUGUACAAGAUUUCCUGCACGAACCAUGACGCGGCCUAAAGAUCGCCGAAACGAGUGCCGCAAGUCUCAAUGAGGCACCAGGAGGGCGAAGCAUCGUUGAGAAAUGGCGUCGUAGUCGAGGGCCGAGUAUACAUGGUCCCCUUUGGGUCAAGACUGCCGGUAACGAGCAAGCGAAAGCUGAGCUUUCUACUGCAGACUACAUGACUGAAAUGCGUUGCCCCUUCAGUCACGCUGUGGACAUUUGCGUACUCAACUAUAGUCUGAUAUUCUAACGCCAUGUGGUGCAGCGUAGCCUAAGUUGCUUUCUCCCCGUUAACUGAUUUAAACCCGUUUUAACUAGCAAAAUGUUUUACCCGGUUUUGUCCUAUAGUGGCGUGAAAAA